Molecule: ribosomal RNA, 465 nt
Filed under: uncultured Arsenophonus sp.
Lineage: Bacteria; Pseudomonadati; Pseudomonadota; Gammaproteobacteria; Enterobacterales; Morganellaceae
Description: bacterial SSU rRNA
Rfam family: Bacterial small subunit ribosomal RNA
Source: RNAcentral
CCUCCGGGGGGCAGCAGUGGGGAAUCUUGCACAAUGGGCGCAAGCCUUAUGCAGCCAUGCCGCGUGUAUGAAGAAGGCCUUCGGGUUGUAAAGUACUUUCAGUCGUGAGGAAGGUGUUAAGGUUAAUAACCUUAGCAAUUGCCGUUAGCGACAGAAGAAGCACCGGCUAACUCCGUGCCAGCAGCCGCGGUACUACGGUUGGUGCGAGCGUUAAUCGGACUUACUGGGCGUAUAGGGCACGCUGUCGGUUAAUUAAGUUGGAUGUGAAAUCUCGGGUAUUAAGCUGGGGAUGGCAUUCAAGACUGGUUAGCUAGAUGCUUGUAGAGGGGGGUAGAAUUCCAUGUGUAGCGGUGAAGUGCGUAGAGAUGUGGAGGAAUACCGGUGGCGAAGUCGGCCCGCUGGACAAAGACUGACGCGCAUGUGCGAAAGCGUGGGGAGCAAACAGGAUUAGAUACCCUUGUAGUC